This 503-nucleotide long non-coding RNA is filed under the name Cyanistes caeruleus (blue tit). RNAcentral's name for it is "lncRNA (ENSCCEG00000010463.1)". Lineage: Eukaryota; Metazoa; Chordata; Aves; Passeriformes; Paridae. The record is from RNAcentral.
UCCAGCUUGAUGAUUCUGUGAUUCUAUUAAAUCUGCUGAGACCAUUCAGAGAAAAGAGAAUAAAAAAGAGAAAAAGGCAGAAAAAAGUUUUACAAGCAGUCUGGUAACCUGCCUACACAGAUUAUCUACAUUUAUACCACAAGUGGGCUUGGGCUAGAAAGGAGGAGAAAAGGAAGGAAAACCACUGCAGGAGGAAUCUUUGCAAGGGAUGUCAGGAAUACAUAAACUAAAGCAGAAUGAAAGGAGAAAAUGGAAGGAUAAACAAGAGAGAGAAAUUAAUGAUAAGGAGCUGCUGUCCUAACUGAGGUCCUCUCCAUUGCCACACUGUGUGGAGGGGAUAUUAAAUAUGCAAGACAGAAAUUAACUAGAUAGAGCAAGAUACAAGGAGAAGAAGCAUGCAACUUCAGUGCUUUGGCAAAGAUGAGAGAGAGAAAAACAGUAUCUAAAAACCUCAUAUGCUAAUAGUCAAUAAAAUAGAUCUCUUGUUUUUCCUGGUUUGUUCU